RNAcentral lists this transfer RNA (72 nucleotides) under Camelus bactrianus (Bactrian camel). It matches the Rfam family "tRNA". From Rfam's summary of the family: Transfer RNA (tRNA) molecules are approximately 80 nucleotides in length. The record is from Rfam by way of RNAcentral. RNAcentral also lists the same sequence under 2 other names. Lineage: Eukaryota; Metazoa; Chordata; Mammalia; Artiodactyla; Camelidae.
GAGGGUAUAGCUCAGUGGCAGAGUGCAUGCUUUGUGUGCAUGAGGUCCUGGGUUCAACCCCCAGUACUUUGA